UGUAAGCGUAUACCAAAGUUGUUGCAGUUAAAACGCUCGUAGUCGGAAUUUGGCAGUUCCGGAUGUGUGCACGUCGUGUGCGCACUUCGCGGGGAUUGCUUUUGUGGUCUUGCGUAGGAUGAGGCACUUUUAUUAGUGAACGUCCUCACGCAACCACUUUUUACUGUGAGAAAAUCAGAGUGCUCAAAGCAGGCAUUUGCCGUGAAUGUAUUAGCAUGGAAUAAUAGAAUAGGACUUGGUUCUAUUUUGUUGGUUUGUUGGGACUGAGUAAUGAUUAAGAGGGACAGUUGGGGGCAUUUGUAUUUCGGUGCUAAAGGUGAAAUUCUUAGAUUACCGAAAGACAAACUGCUGCGAAAGCGUCUGCCAAGGAUGUUUUCAUUGA
RNAcentral lists this ribosomal RNA (382 nucleotides) under uncultured eukaryote. Its description in RNAcentral is "partial 18S ribosomal RNA". It matches the Rfam family "Eukaryotic small subunit ribosomal RNA", at positions 592 to 976 of the family's 1831-position model. The record is from RNAcentral.